CUUCGGGCUCUGUGCGACGAAGUCCCGCGAACCCCGCCAGGCCCGGAAGGGAGCAACGGUACCGGGAUCGCUUCGUGCGCCGCGGAGUACCCGAAGUUC
This 99-nucleotide signal recognition particle RNA is filed under the name Candidatus Dormiibacterota bacterium. Its description in RNAcentral is "signal recognition particle sRNA small type". It matches the Rfam family "Bacterial small signal recognition particle RNA". Rfam says of the family: The signal recognition particle (SRP) is a universally conserved ribonucleoprotein involved in the co-translational targeting of proteins to membranes. Archaeal SRP consists of a 7S RNA and homologues of the eukaryotic SRP19 and SRP54 proteins. The record is from RNAcentral. RNAcentral also lists the same sequence under 2 other names. Lineage: Bacteria; Bacillati; Candidatus Dormiibacterota.